UCCUUGGUAGUCCAGUGGUUAUGACUCUGCACUCCCAAUGCAGGGGCCUGGGUUCAAUCCUUGGUCAGGAAA
RNAcentral lists this transfer RNA (72 nucleotides) under Bos taurus (domestic cattle). It matches the Rfam family "tRNA". From Rfam's summary of the family: Transfer RNA (tRNA) molecules are approximately 80 nucleotides in length. Lineage: Eukaryota; Metazoa; Chordata; Mammalia; Artiodactyla; Bovidae. RNAcentral also lists the same sequence under 5 other names. The record is from Rfam by way of RNAcentral.